GUGGGGAAUUUUGGACAAUGGGCGCAAGCCUGAUCCAGCAAUGCCGCGUGCAGGAAGAAGGCUUUCGGGUUGUAAACUUCUUUUACCAGGGACGAAACAAAUGACGGUACCUGGUGGAUAAGCCACGGCUAACUACGUGCCAGCAGCCGCGGUAAUACGUAGGUGGCGAGCGUUAUCCGGAUUUAUUGGGUGUAAAGGGCGUGUAGGCGGGACAGCAAGUCAGAUGUGAAAACCAGAGGCUCAACCUCUGGCCUGCAUUUGAAACUGUUGUUCUUGAGUGUCGGAGAGGUAAUCGGAAUUCCGUGUGUAGCGGUGAAAUGCGUAGAUAUACGGAGGAACACCAGUGGCGAAGGCGGAUUACUGGACGAUAACUGACGCUGAGGCGCGAAAGCGUGGGGAGCAAACAGGAUUAGAAACCCUGGUAGUCC
RNAcentral lists this ribosomal RNA (428 nucleotides) under uncultured bacterium. RNAcentral's name for it is "partial 16S ribosomal RNA". It matches the Rfam family "Bacterial small subunit ribosomal RNA", at positions 354 to 796 of the family's 1533-position model. The record is from RNAcentral.